This 261-nucleotide ribosomal RNA is filed under the name uncultured bacterium. RNAcentral describes it as "partial 16S ribosomal RNA". It matches the Rfam family "Bacterial small subunit ribosomal RNA", at positions 793 to 1055 of the family's 1533-position model. The record is from RNAcentral.
GUCCACGCCGUAAACGAUGUCUACUAGCCGUUGGGAGCCUUGAGCUCUUAGUGGCGCAGCUAACGCACUAAGUAGACCGCCUGGGGAGUACGGUCGCAAGAUUAAAACUCAAAUGAAUUGACGGGGCCCGCACAAGCGGUGGAGCAUGUGGUUUAAUUCGACGCAACGCGAAGAACCUUACCAGGUCUUGACAUCCAGAGAACUUUCCAGAGAUGGAUUGGUGCCUUCGGAGCUCUGAGACAGGUGCUGCAUGGCUGUCGU